GCCGGAUCUUACGCACGGAGCCGAGCGGGCCAUGGAAGCGGCGUUCCGACUCUCCCACGCCCCCCAGUGGUCAAACCAAGAACCGCUAAAGGUGUGGUGAAAAUACACAAACUUAGUAUGUUACUAAAUGUAUUAAAAAACACAUAAAAAGAACAAAAUUACAGUUGCUGAAGUGAAUUAUUCUUUUUUAACUGAAGAUCGUCUCCUUUGCGUAGCUGUGCCACCCAAAAACCUUUUUAAUACCUCGCAUGAACUAAUAAACAAAAAUCAUACUUAACCUGGAGCAGCUCGUUAAAUUGUCGUUAAACGAUCAAUAUGACGUUAUGGAGGAACUAUAGAGCCACCAUGCGGCCGCAGCGUUAUUUUAUUUUGAAAAUAACAACAACUAACCGGACGUAUUAUUUUGUUAAAAAGUAUAAUGAGCAACCGUUGCCGUCGCUGUUUGCCUUGUGUAGAAAUCUUACCUGAGGCCACAUGCAGCUGCACGCUGUCAAACCCCCCCCAGGUGCACCAGCGUUAAUUAAUCUGCCCGCUUUCCCGACUAGAAUGAAACAAUAUUCAUUUAGUAUUUGACUUUAAUGCGGUGCAACAACGAUGGCGUGGAGGAGGAGACGACCGCGCUCACUUCCAGGUGGGAACUCUGUCACUACUUUUCUUGUUUCCACCUUAACGUUAUAUUUUGUAACAUGGGCUGAAAAUGUGUUUAAAAAAAAAAAAAGCUUGAGCAGAAGAUUUCACAAUAAGAAAAUUUACCAGCACUUGUUGUUGUAUUUUCAAAGUUUUAAUUUAACUACCUUCAAAUAUCUUAUAGAUAACAGUAACAGACCUGUUCCCAACAACAUGGACCACCUUGCUUUCAAGUACAUGGUAAUUAGUUAGCCACAUUUUAGCACCAUAUUGAGACUGAAAUGGAAAAACUUAAGUUUUUGCCUGUGUGUAAACGUGGACUGAAGUGACUUCUGUUAUCUGUCAAGGAGAUGUGUAAGGUGGACACUGACUCGGACUCUGACUCAGAAAUCAGUCCCAGAUGGUCCGACACCAGCUCCAUGGGAUGCGUGAGCCGUGUGCCGCGGCGUGGGAUACUACGCCGGACGCUGCCACCUAAGACAGCAGCAAGACACGGUUGUUCUUCGUUCUUAGACCCGUAUGAUGGGAGCUCUGAGGAUUCUGAUGACGCAGGCGUCUCGAGGCAAACGAAGCAGCAAGGCAGAGGCAGCGGCGCCGGAGGCUGGUCGUCCGGCCGAGGCAGGAGGUCUGUGCCUCCGCACCCAGCUUCUAUUGGUCUUAGACAAGAGAUAAGGGACCCUGUAGCAGAGCAUCACCUUCAUUUGGACGUUCCGAUGACAUGUGGUAGUGACUCUGAGGUGUGGGUCUGUGAGCUAGACAGUUUGUCUACACAUAAUGACAUAAUGGACGGCGGUAGAGAUGUCACUGUAGCUGCAAAUGGUUCAACGAUGCAAACCCAAACCACAGGCAUUGAACUGCAACUCGAUGAUGCCGCGCACCACACAUUUGGACCUCUCGCACCAGUGAGAGGAAACUUGCCCCAGCUGCAGGACAGCUCCUCCGAGAGGUCCGUGAGCCCGUGUAACCUCACCUCUAUUUACAAGAGAAAGCUGGGUCUCCCCGGAGCAGAUGUGGGAGAGUUGGGGCAAAGAAAACGGCAAUGUGUUGACAUGGAGGACGAACACAACGCCAUGGACUCUACGUCUGACCCGUUUUAG
Molecule: long non-coding RNA, 1724 nt
Organism: Betta splendens (Siamese fighting fish)
Lineage: Eukaryota; Metazoa; Chordata; Actinopteri; Anabantiformes; Osphronemidae
Source: Ensembl